Caenorhabditis elegans is the source of this 149-nucleotide non-coding RNA. The record is from Ensembl. Lineage: Eukaryota; Metazoa; Nematoda; Chromadorea; Rhabditida; Rhabditidae.
GCGGUGGCCUCCGGGGGGCGAAAUAGACAGGCUGAGUGGUGUGGUGGGGCACAUACGAGAAAGGAGAGAGUCCCCUCGUUUUCCCCCCACUCUUUCCAUUUUCGAUGACUAGUCAUGGGCGGCGCGCGCGCGGCAACGGGAAAGUGGCG